AGAGUUUGAUCAUGGCUCAGAACGAACGCUGGCGGCAUGCCUAACACAUGCAAGUCGAACGAGCACUUCGGUGCGAGUGGCGAACGGGUGAGUAACGCGUGGGAAUCUGCCUCAAAGUGGGGAAUAACCAACGGAAACGGUGGCUAAUACCCCAUACCCCCUGCGGGGGAAAGUUUUUCGCUUUGAGAUGAGCCCGCGUCGGAUUAGGUUGUUGGUGAGGUAAAAGCUCACCAAGCCUGUGAUCCGUAGCUGGUCUGAGAGGAUGAACAGCCACACUGGGACUGAGACACGGCCCAGACUCCUACGGGAGGCAGCAGUGGGGAAUAUUGGACAAUGGGGGAAACCCUGAUCCAGCAAUGCCGCGUGAGUGAUGAAGGCCUUAGGGUUGUAAAACUCUUUCGGCGGGGAAGA
RNAcentral lists this ribosomal RNA (411 nucleotides) under uncultured bacterium. RNAcentral describes it as "bacterial SSU rRNA". It matches the Rfam family "Bacterial small subunit ribosomal RNA", at positions 8 to 448 of the family's 1533-position model. The record is from RNAcentral.